AAACCAGCACCUCAAGUGGUCAGGAGGAUUAUUGGGCCUAAAGCAUCCGUAGCCUGUUCUGUAAGUUUUCGGUUAAAUCCAUUAGCUCAACUAGUGGGCUGCCGAAAAUACUGUAGAACUAGGGAGUGGGAGAGGUAGACGGUAUUCGGUAGGAAGGGGUAAAAUCCUUUGAUCUAUUGAGGACCACCUGUGGCGAAGGCGGUCUACCAGAACACGUUCGACGGUGAGGGAUGAAAGCUGGGGGAGCAAACCGGAUUAGAAACCCCGGUAGUCC
RNAcentral lists this ribosomal RNA (274 nucleotides) under uncultured bacterium. Its description in RNAcentral is "partial 16S ribosomal RNA". It matches the Rfam family "Archaeal small subunit ribosomal RNA", at positions 473 to 747 of the family's 1478-position model. The record is from RNAcentral.